This is a long non-coding RNA of Gasterosteus aculeatus aculeatus (three-spined stickleback), 1128 nucleotides long. The record is from Ensembl. Lineage: Eukaryota; Metazoa; Chordata; Actinopteri; Perciformes; Gasterosteidae.
CACAGAUUAAAAACCCUUUAACAGGACAACACAUCAACACAAACAAUUGUUUUUUCUACACUCUUUACUCUUUACUACACCACUGUGUCAUUUGUCUUCAAUAAGAUGUGAACUGUACUGAGCGUCAGGUUGUCCCAACUUUAACUGAGCAAAAACACUGCACUUACAUAUUUGAGUUCUCUGAUGCAUGUUUGCGUCUAAUAUUAUAUUUAUAGAAGUUAAAAUGAUAAGAAAUACAGACAAGUGAUACAAUCUCAAGCACUUUAUUAGGUUUGAACAGUAUCUUGCUUAAAAAGGCCAUUGGGCAUUAUAUAAUUAUAUAUUCAAAUGUUGAAUAUCAAAACACCAGAAACAAACAUUGGCAAAUUAAAAAUAGGAUUUGCUUAAGACAGUUUUACCAAAUUAAAAAUGGCCAAAACAAAAUAUCUAAUACAUUUCAAAAUGGUCCCGAUACAGUUCAAUAUACAUUGUUUUUUUUAUUAAAAGAAGGGUGAAGGGAGAAGAAAAUAUAAGGCAGCAGACAGGAAUGAAAUAUAAAUAACCUUACAUUAUGUACAAAAGGGAGUGGGCAGUGACCACUGAAGAAAUGGUCCACGGACAGGAGAAACAGGAAAAUGAAGCAUGGACAGUGGACAGCAGUGAGUGAGACAUUAAGGACAUUUAGAAAGGUAGAAAGAAGAGAGAAGUUGGACUUCCAUUUUCCCCUACUAUGACGCUCUAAUAACGGAGACCCAGUUUGAUUCUCCAGGGCAUUCAAUGCAGGGAACGAAGAGAUGCAAAAUAGGGACAACUGUCUGGUUCCCCUUGGUUUGCAUUUGUAUUUGUUGUGGAUAGAAAAUACUUAAUAGAACAUUUGGGUACCCACAAUUGAUUACUUGUCAUGGAUACAACAUUUCAAUCAUAUGGAAUGAAGUAAAGCCAUUCAAUAAAGAUGGAAAUCAUUUUAAAAGUGAUCUCAACGUUAGUUUGAGCUGCACAAAUAUACGACUAGAGGGAAUGUGAAAGGGAGGAUGACUGACCCCACUGGUUUUGGCCCUAUUGAUUUGCAGGUGGUAAUUAAGGAGACACAUGCAAGUUCAGGAAAAUACACAUGGCAGCUUUUAGGAUGGCAAUGCCUGCACCACAUAU